CAAGAAAAGGUCAGGAUAGCUCAGUUGG
Molecule: transfer RNA, 28 nt
Filed under: Poa supina
Lineage: Eukaryota; Viridiplantae; Streptophyta; Magnoliopsida; Poales; Poaceae
Also listed under: 2 other names
Description: partial tRNA-Phe
Source: RNAcentral